AGACUCUGCCCAGCAAAAGGCAACAGCUCCAAGAAUCUGUCGGUGUACUCCUCUACACUCAUUUCAUCCGUCUGCCUCAACUGUUCAAACUCUAUCAUCUUCAGCUCCCUUGAACUAUCGGGAAAAGCCCAUCCUGCAAACUCGUUUGCAAACUCUUCUCAAGACAUGCUGUCCACUCUCAGGUUCACAUAAUUCUUGAACCACUCUCGUGCCUUCUUGCACUUAAGCGUGAA
RNAcentral lists this long non-coding RNA (233 nucleotides) under Manihot esculenta (cassava). Its description in RNAcentral is "long non-coding RNA (MESC_LNC012502)". The record is from RNAcentral. Lineage: Eukaryota; Viridiplantae; Streptophyta; Magnoliopsida; Malpighiales; Euphorbiaceae.